AGAGCCCGCUCGGGAGAGUCUCCGACUGCGAAAGCCGCUGGUCGGAGCGCCGAAGGAGCAACUCCUCCCCGGAAUCUCUCAGGCAUCCGUACCGUGUGGGGUAG
This 104-nucleotide non-coding RNA is filed under the name Streptomyces sp. RNAcentral's name for it is "Glycine sequence". It matches the Rfam family "Glycine riboswitch aptamer". Rfam says of the family: This family represents the bacterial glycine riboswitch. RNAcentral also lists the same sequence under 1 other name. Lineage: Bacteria; Bacillati; Actinomycetota; Actinomycetes; Kitasatosporales; Streptomycetaceae. The record is from RNAcentral.